This 537-nucleotide ribosomal RNA is filed under the name Dujonia zeylanoides. RNAcentral describes it as "eukaryotic LSU rRNA". It matches the Rfam family "Eukaryotic large subunit ribosomal RNA", at positions 61 to 603 of the family's 3401-position model. The record is from RNAcentral. Lineage: Eukaryota; Fungi; Ascomycota; Pichiomycetes; Serinales; Debaryomycetaceae.
GAAACCAACAGGGAUUGCCUCAGUAACGGCGAGUGAAGCGGCAAAAGCUCAAAUUUGAAAUCUAGCACUUUCAGUGUUCGAGUUGUAAUUUGAAGAAGGUAACUUUGGUUUUGGCUCUUGUCUAUGUUCCUUGGAACAGGACGUCACAGAGGGUGAGAAUCCCGUGCGAUGAGAUGCCCAAUUCCAUGUAAAGUGCUUUCGAAGAGUCGAGUUGUUUGGGAAUGCAGCUCUAAGUGGGUGGUAAAUUCCAUCUAAAGCUAAAUAUUGGCGAGAGACCGAUAGCGAACAAGUACAGUGAUGGAAAGAUGAAAAGAACUUUGAAAAGAGAGUGAAAAAGUACGUGAAAUUGUUGAAAGGGAAGGGCUUGAGAUCAGACUUGGUAUUUUGCGUUCCCUUCCUUUUUGGUUGGGUUCCUCGCAGUUUACUGGGCCAGCAUCGGUUUGGAUGGUAGGAUAAUGACAUUGGAAUGUAGCUUUACUUCGGUGAAGUGUUAUAGACUUUGUUGAUACUGCCUAUCUAGACCGAGGACUGCGUCUU